CGAGCGGCGGACGGGUGAGUAAUGUCUGGGAAACUGCCUGAUGGAGGGGGAUAACUACUGGAAACGGUAGCUAAUACCGCAUAACGUCGCAAGUACCAAAGAGGGGGACCUUCGGGCCUCUUGCCAUCAGAUGUGCCCAGAUGGGAUUAGCUAGUAGUGGGGUAACGGCUCACCUAGGCGACGAUCCCUAGCUGGUCUGAGAGGAUGACCAGCCACACUGGAACUGAGACACGGUCCAGACUCCUACGGGAGGCAGCAGUGGGGAAUAUUGCACAAUGGGCGCAAGCCUGAUGCAGCCAUGCCGCGUGUAUGAAGAAGGCCUUCGGGUUGUAAAGUACUUUCAGCGGGGAGGAAGGUGUUGUGGUUAAUAACCACAGCAAUUGACGUUACCCGCAAAAAGCACCGGCUAACUCCGUGCCAGCAGCCGCGGUAAUACGGAGGGUGCAAGCGUUAAUCGGAAUUACUGGGCGUAAAGCGCACGCAGGCGGUCUGUCAAGUCGAAUGUGAAAUCCCCGGGCUCAACCUGGGAACUGCAUUCGAAACUGGCAGGCUAGAGUCUUGUAAGGGGGGUAGAAUUCCAGGUGUACGGUGAAAUGCGUA
This 600-nucleotide ribosomal RNA is filed under the name uncultured bacterium. RNAcentral describes it as "bacterial SSU rRNA". It matches the Rfam family "Bacterial small subunit ribosomal RNA", at positions 92 to 692 of the family's 1533-position model. The record is from RNAcentral.